Molecule: non-coding RNA, 862 nt
Organism: Heterocephalus glaber (naked mole-rat)
Lineage: Eukaryota; Metazoa; Chordata; Mammalia; Rodentia; Bathyergidae
Source: RefSeq, a predicted model, not a curated record
AACUUCAAAAAAAUUUAUUCCACAGAGAAGAUAAAAAUGGCAUGAAAUUUUCCAAAGGCAAAUUAUGAACCCUGUGUCAAUUAGAAUGGCCCAGUGUCAGAGUCAGUUGGCCCCUGUGGGAACUUAUUCUAUGCACAUUGCUCGCAAGGUCUGGAAUAUGGUGACCCGAGUUGGGGGCCCACAGGUCCCGAUCAACCUUUGGCACUCCAUCGGGACAGGACUACAGUCCAUCAGCCCUGUCUUCCUCCUCCCUUUUCCUUCAAAACAGACAGCGCCUGGGGGAGGAUUGAUUUAUGUCCCUUUUACAACUCGUGAUCUUUACAAUUGGAAACAUCAAAAUCUCCCCUUCUCUGAAAAACCUGAGGCAUUAAUCUCUCUUCUUGAGCCUGUUUUUCAUACCCAUCAGCCAACCUGGGAUGAUUGCCAGCAGCUUUUACAGAUCCUGUAAAAAGAUCCUGAGGAGUGGGACCACAUUUAUCAACAGGCAGUCAAAGAGGCCCUGGGGCCAAACCCCAGCGUCACUCCCGGAACCCUGGGGUAUUCGGCUAGGGCUGAGGCUGCAGUUUCGUCACAGUGCCCCGAAUGGGACCCCAAUGAUGAUGACAGUAAGAGGAGCCUGGGGGCCUACUGCUAGCACUUACUAGGGGGACUCCAGGCAGCUGCCAGAAAGGUAAACUGCGAGACUGAUAAAAUGACAGAUGAAAAGUAACAAACUCAGAAAAAUAAGAGGUGAACCAGUUACGAGUCAUUCCACAAACCUAGUGGCACUAUUCGGGAAAACUCUUUAAAUAUCAAAAGCUCAAAGUUCUACCAUAUUUUAUACCUUCUUUUUACAACCUAAAUAAAAUACAGAUAGACAAGU